RNAcentral lists this ribosomal RNA (286 nucleotides) under uncultured Subdoligranulum sp. RNAcentral's name for it is "partial 16S ribosomal RNA". The stretch from base 46 to 286 matches the Rfam family "Bacterial small subunit ribosomal RNA", at positions 100 to 339 of the family's 1533-position model. The record is from RNAcentral. Lineage: Bacteria; Bacillati; Bacillota; Clostridia; Eubacteriales; Oscillospiraceae.
UUUAUUUGAUUUCCUUCGGGACUGAUUAUUUUGUGACUGAGUGGCGGACGGGUGAGUAACGCGUGGGUAACCUGCCUUGUACAGGGGGAUAACAGUUGGAAACGGCUGCUAAUACCGCAUAAGCGCACGGCAUCGCAUGGUACUGAGGGAAAAGGAUUUAUUCGCUUUAGGAUGGACUCGCGUCCAAUUAGCUAGUUGGUGAGGUAACGGCCCACCAAGGCGACGAUUGGUAGCCGGACUGAGAGGUUGAACGGCCACAUUGGGACUGAGACACGGCCCAGACUCC